UAAAUCUGUUUUUUUUUUUUUUUUAAUUGCGUCGUAUAUGUUUUAACAUACAUAUGAUUUAUUUUCUUUAAAGCUCGCGUAUGUAUACUUUAAUUAAAUGAAGAAGAAAUUUAAAAAAAUAAAUAACCUCUUUGAUAUACUAUUCAUUUUUUUCAUCAUAUAUAGGUAUAUAUAUAUAAAUAUAAAUAAAUAUAUAUAUAUAUAGUUACCAUUGUUCAUCGUAAGUUCUAAUAAUUUUCCUUAUUUAUAUAUUUACAAUCGUUCUUUGUAAAUUCAAAUAUUUUUCCCUUAUAAUUUAAGAAAAAUACGAGCACAUAAAAAAGGUUUUUCAAAAAAAAAUAUUUUGAAUAAUUUAAAACUUUUACGUUAUGCAUUUUUUUUUUAAAUUUAUGAUAUAUAAAAAUUAUCGUAAGGUACUUUAAAAAUAUAGCCUCUUGAGAAGUCACUUGUUUAUAUGCAAUACAUAUACAUAUAUAUUUAUAUAUAUGUACAUACGCAAUUUUUUUUUUUUUUUUUUUUUUUUUUUUUUUUUUAACAAUAUUUAUAUUUUACAUACAGCAAAUUUUCAACUGCUACAUUUUAAUACUCUUUUUUUUAAGCGUAUAACUUUUAUUUAUUUUUUUUACCAAAAAUUUAUUACAUAUUAAUUUUUUAUAAAUAUUAUAUUUAUAAGUAAUUUUUUUUUUUCUUUUUACCAAUAUAAGAAAACAUUAAAUAUAUAUAACAAAAGAAAAAGGUUUUUUCCUUACUUUUUCAUAUAGUCACAAAUUUUAACUUUUAACAUAUUUAUUUUACAAAAAUAUAAAAGAAAAAAUGGCAGCUGUUCCAGUAUCACAAUUACCAGAAACUGAAAAGCAAGAGCUUUUAUGUACCUAUGCUAGUUUAAUAUUACAUGAAGAGAAGAUGAGUAUAACUGGUGAAAACAUUUCAAAGCUCAUUAAAAAAUCAAACAACACUGUUUUACCAUACUUACCAAUGCUUUUCGAAAAAGCAUUAAAUGGAAAGGAUAUAUCGAGUUUACUAAGUAACCUAAGUGUUGGUGGUGGUGCUCCAGCAGGCGCUGCACAAGGUACAACCGAGGAAGUCGGUGAAGCUAAAAAGGAAGAGAAAAAAGAAGAGAAAGUAGAAGAGGAAGAAGAAGAAGACGAUUUAGGUUUUUCAUUAUUUGGUUAGAUUAUAGUUAAUUAAAAAAAAACUAAGCAAAGCCACUUUAAUUUAUAAUUAUAAAUUACUCAAGAUUAUAUGUUUAUUAAACUUUAAUAAACAAAUUAUAGUCCAUUGUAUUGCA
This 1288-nucleotide long non-coding RNA is filed under the name Piliocolobus tephrosceles (Ugandan red Colobus). RNAcentral's name for it is "lncRNA (ENSPTEG00000015106.1)". Lineage: Eukaryota; Metazoa; Chordata; Mammalia; Primates; Cercopithecidae. The record is from RNAcentral.